UUUUAUCAUGUUUCAUGCACCAUGGUUGUGCAAUAGGAUGAUUGCAUUAGUUUCCACGAAUAUGCCGCAUUGCAUCGAUUGUUGUUGAUGUGGGUGAAUAUUGGAUGACCCAAUUAGUCCAUGACAGGAAGACCAAGACCCCAUGCUACGGCCUGGCACUAUGUAAGGAAAGACCAGGACCCCAUUCUACGGCCUGGCACGGUUAUGAGACUCGAAGACCAGGAGCCCAGAGGAGGCCCUGGGGAAAUGGUAAGUAAUGUAUGUUAUGACAGGAAGACCAGGACCCCAUUCUACGGCCUGGCACUAUGUUAACUUGGACUAAUUGGUGACAAGUUCACCCAACCCUUAUGUGAAUUGUCUGUGUUAUGAUGCAUUUCAUUGGAGCAUAGUGUUAAUAUGUUUUAUAGUCCUACUCACUGGGCU
This 423-nucleotide long non-coding RNA is filed under the name Manihot esculenta (cassava). RNAcentral's name for it is "long non-coding RNA (MESC_LNC008523)". The record is from RNAcentral. Lineage: Eukaryota; Viridiplantae; Streptophyta; Magnoliopsida; Malpighiales; Euphorbiaceae.